This 465-nucleotide ribosomal RNA is filed under the name uncultured bacterium. Its description in RNAcentral is "partial 16S ribosomal RNA". It matches the Rfam family "Bacterial small subunit ribosomal RNA", at positions 28 to 507 of the family's 1533-position model. The record is from RNAcentral.
GACGAACGCUGGCGGCGUGCUUAACACAUGCAAGUCGUACGGUAAGGCCCUUUCGGGGGUACACGAGUGGCGAACGGGUGAGUAACACGUGAGUAACCUGCCCACCACUUUGGGAUAACGCUAGGAAACUGGUGCGAACACUGGAUAUGUGCUCCUGCUGCAUGGUGGGGGUUGGAAAGCUCUUGGGGUUGUGGAUGGAAUCGCGGCCUAUUAGCUUGUUGGUGGGGGGGUGGCCUACCAAGGCGGCGACGGGGAGCCGGCCUGAGGGGGUGACCGGCCACAAUGGGACUGGGAUUCGGGCCAGACCCCUACGGGGGGGAGCAGUGGGAGAUAUUGCACAAUGGGCGCGAGCCUGAUGCAGCAACGCCGCGGGCGGGAUGACGGCCUUCGGGUUGUAAACCGCUUUCAGCAGGGACGAAGCUUUUUGUGACGGUACCUGCAGAAGAAGCACCGGCUAACUACGUG